GUANGUCACAAGCGUUGUCCGGANUUACUGGGUGUAAAGGGAGCGCAGGCGGGAANACAAGUUGGAAGUGAAAUCCAUGGGCUCAACCCAUGAACUGCUUUCAAAACUGUUUUUCUUGANUANUGCACAAGGUAGGCGGAAUUCCCGGUGUAGCGGUGGAAUGCGUAGAUAUCGGGAGGAACACCAGUGGCGAAGGCGGCCUACUGGGCACCAGCUGACGCUGAGGCUCGAAAGUGUGGGUAGCAAACAGGAUUAGAUACCCUGGUAGUCCACACCGUAAACGAUGAUUACUAGGUGUUGGAGGAUUGACCCCUUCUUUGCCGCAGUUAANACAAUAAGUAAUCCACCUGGGGAGU
RNAcentral lists this ribosomal RNA (356 nucleotides) under uncultured bacterium. RNAcentral describes it as "bacterial SSU rRNA". It matches the Rfam family "Bacterial small subunit ribosomal RNA", at positions 527 to 881 of the family's 1533-position model. The record is from RNAcentral.